AUUGAACGCUGGUGGCAUGCCUUACACAUGCAAGUCGAACGGUAACGGGCCUUCGGGUGCCGACGAGUGGCGAACGGGUGAGUAAUACAUCGGAACGUGCCCGAUCGUGGGGGAUAACGAGGCGAAAGCUUUGCUAAUACCGCAUACGAUCUACGGAUGAAAGCAGGGGACCGCAAGGCCUUGCGCGGACGGAGCGGCCGAUGGCAGAUUAGGUAGUUGGUGGGAUAAAAGCUUACCAAGCCGACGAUCUGUAGCUGGUCUGAGAGGAUGAUCAGCCACACUGGGACUGAGACACGGCCCAGACUCCUACGGGAGGCAGCAGUGGGGAAUUUUGGACAAUGGGCGCAAGCCUGAUCCAGCCAUGCCGCGUGCAGGAUGAAGGCCUUCGGGUUGUAAACUGCUUUUGUACGGAACGAAAAGCCUUCUUUUAAUACAGGAGGGUCAUGACGGUACCGGAAGAAUAAGCACCGGCUAACUACGUG
This 482-nucleotide ribosomal RNA is filed under the name uncultured bacterium. Its description in RNAcentral is "partial 16S ribosomal RNA". It matches the Rfam family "Bacterial small subunit ribosomal RNA", at positions 30 to 507 of the family's 1533-position model. The record is from RNAcentral.